RNAcentral lists this non-coding RNA (119 nucleotides) under Bathycoccus prasinos. Lineage: Eukaryota; Viridiplantae; Chlorophyta; Mamiellophyceae; Mamiellales; Bathycoccaceae. The record is from RNAcentral.
AGACAGAGAGAAAGAGAGAGAGAGAAGAAGAGAGGAGGUGGAGGUGUUUGCGUUGUGAUUACAAUAUACUACAUUGAUUGAAAUUUAUUUCUUUUGCUUUUUGCUCUUUUCCUUCUUUU